GAUGAACGCUGGCGGCGUGCCUAAUACAUGCAAGUCGAGCGAACGGACGAGGAGCUUGCUCCUCUGAUGUUAGCGGCGGACGGGUGAGUAACACGUGGAUAACCUACCUAUAAGACUGGGAUAACUUCGGGAAACCGUAGCUAAUACCGGAUAAUAUAUUGAACCGCAUGGUUCAAAAGUGAAAGACGGUCUUGCUGUCACUUAUAGAUGGAUCCGCGCUGCAUUAGCUAGUUGGUAAGGUAACGGCUUACCAAGGCAACGAUGCGUAGCCGACCUGAGAGGGUGAUCGGCCACACUGGAACUGAGACACGGUCCAGACUCCUACGGGAGGCAGCAGUAGGGAAUCUUCCGCAAUGGGCGAAAGCCUGACGGAGCAACGCCGCGUGAGUGAUGAAGGUCUUCGGAUCGUAAAACUCUGUUAUUAGGGAAGAACAAAUGUGUAAGUAACUGUGCACAUCUUGACGGUACCUAAUCAGAAAGCCACGGCUAACUACGUG
This 497-nucleotide ribosomal RNA is filed under the name uncultured bacterium. RNAcentral's name for it is "partial 16S ribosomal RNA". It matches the Rfam family "Bacterial small subunit ribosomal RNA", at positions 28 to 507 of the family's 1533-position model. The record is from RNAcentral.